AACGAACGCUGGCGGCGUGCCUAACACAUGCAAGUCGAACGGAAUAAGGGGCUUGCUCCUUAUUUAGUGGCGCACGGGUGAGUAACGCGUAGAUAAUCUGCCUGAUGAUCUGGGAUAACAUUUCGAAAGAGGUGCUAAUACCGGAUAAGCCCACGACGGCCUUGGUCGACGCGGGAAAAGGGGGGGACCAUUUGGCCUUCUGUCAUCAGAUGAGUCUGCGUACCAUUAGCUAGUUGGUGGGGUAAAGGCCUACCAAGGCUACGAUGGUUAGCUGGUCUGAGAGAAUGAUCAGCCACACUGGAACUGAGACACGGUCCAGACUCCUACGGGAGGCAGCAGUGGGGAAUUUUGCGCAAUGGGCGAAAGCCUGACGCAGCAACGCCGCGUGAGUGAUGAAGGCUUCCGGGUCGUAAAGCUCUGUCAAUGGGAAAGAAGUGUAUUGUAGCUAAUAUCUGCGAUACUUGACGGUACCCAUAAAGGAAGCACCGGCUAACUCCGUGCCAGCCGCCGCGGUAA
RNAcentral lists this ribosomal RNA (516 nucleotides) under uncultured bacterium. Its description in RNAcentral is "partial 16S ribosomal RNA". It matches the Rfam family "Bacterial small subunit ribosomal RNA", at positions 29 to 523 of the family's 1533-position model. The record is from RNAcentral.